UACGUAGGGUGCAAGCGUUGUCCGGAAUUAUUGGGCGUAAAGAGCUCGUAGGCGGUUCGUCGCGUCGGCUGUGAAAACCCGGAGCUCAACUCCGGGCCUGCAGUCGAUACGGGCGGACUAGAGUUCGGCAGGGGAGACUGGAAUUCCUGGUGUAGCGGUGAAAUGCGCAGAUAUCAGGAGGAACACCGGCGGCGAAGGCGGGUCUCUGGGCCGUAACUGACACUGAGAGACGAAAGCUAGGGGAGCGAAUGGG
RNAcentral lists this ribosomal RNA (253 nucleotides) under uncultured bacterium. RNAcentral describes it as "partial 16S ribosomal RNA". It matches the Rfam family "Bacterial small subunit ribosomal RNA", at positions 524 to 776 of the family's 1533-position model. The record is from RNAcentral.